RNAcentral lists this ribosomal RNA (458 nucleotides) under uncultured Acidovorax sp. RNAcentral's name for it is "bacterial SSU rRNA". It matches the Rfam family "Bacterial small subunit ribosomal RNA", at positions 923 to 1382 of the family's 1533-position model. The record is from RNAcentral. Lineage: Bacteria; Pseudomonadati; Pseudomonadota; Betaproteobacteria; Burkholderiales; Comamonadaceae.
GCACAAGCGGUGGAUGAUGUGGUUUAAUUCGAUGCAACGCGAAAACCUUACCCACCUUUGACAUGUACGGAAUCCUUUAGAGAUAGAGGAGUGCUCGAAAGAGAACCGUAACACAGGUGCUGCAUGGCUGUCGUCAGCUCGUGUCGUGAGAUGUUGGGCUAAGUCCCGCAACGAGCGCAACCCUUGUCAUUAGUUGCUACAUUCAGUUGGGCACUCUAAUGAGACUGCCGGUGACAAACCGGAGGAAGGUGGGGAUGACGUCAAGUCCUCAUGGCCCUUAUAGGUGGGGCUACACACGUCAUACAAUGGAUGGUACAAAGGGUCGCCAACCCGCGAGGGGGAGCCAAUCCCAUAAAGCCAUUCGUAGUCCGGAUCGCAGUCUGCAACUCGACUGCGUGAAGUCGGAAUCGCUAGUAAUCGUGGAUCAGAAUGUCACGGUGAAUACGUUCCCGGGUCUU